ACCAGAGUAAGUAAUGCACGUGAUCUGAACUGUUCUGAGCUGUGCCAGAUACACGAGGUGUGCUCAGCUGUGACUCCUUCACUGGGCAUCAUCUCAGAAUGAAGUGUCCUCAAUGCAAUCACGUGUCUUCAGAAAAGGCAAAAUUCUGCUGUGAGUGUGGCAACAAGCUACCAUCUCUCUCAACUGAGACAGCACCAGACAAGUCGCAAGAGUCUCAAUCAUCCUCAAACAUCCCACAUGGCACUGAUAAAGAAAAGACUGAAUCAGAAGUACUGGAUUACCAGAAUGCUAGUGUAUCUCCAACACAAUCAAAUGAAGAUAUCAACAACUCUAACCCAAAGAAAGAGAAGAAACAUGUUUCCAGUGAAGAUUCACCAGCGAAUGCCCAACAUAGUCAGGAGCAGCAGAAUUCUGAUUUUGCUGAUGACCUGAAUUGCAGUGAAAGUGAUGAUACAGAAAGUCAGUAUGUUGAGCCUCCAAAAAGGUGAAUGAAGAAUCAUGUAGUUAUAAAAGUACAAAUGUUGUUUUUUCCCCCUUGGAUUAUUAUCUUACCAAUAUUUUUAAAUUGCAGAAAUCCAGCAUCAGAUCAACAAAUAAGUCCCAGAGACAGACUCACCAUUUGUUUUCAUGCAGUCCUUUCAAAAGACUUCAAGUUUAUACCAAACAAGGAUUGUAUCUUCAUAAGAGCCGGUGAUCACAUUGGUGGCUGGGAAAAAAAUUUGGUUGAACUACAAGUGUUAGGGUUAGUAAAGGACCAUUUAUUGAUUAUUCAUAUCUGGAAGCAGUAGCUUAAAAAUGAUUUGAUUUCAGGGAUCUCGGAGAGCAUGGAUUGCUUGUGGAAGGGAAAUAUAUAUGCAAGAAGUUUGAUGCUGAAACUGUGUCCAUUCCAUACAAAUAUGUUGUGUAUAAAGAAGAAAAUCACAACAAGUAUGAAUUACAUUAUGAAUACAUCUACAAACUGGAUUCAAAAGAAACCACCAACAGAUGUCUGUUUGUCAAAUCGCAUCUCCUAAAUAGUGACGGUAGGUAAAUUUCAUACUCAAGUAAAA
Long non-coding RNA from Sinocyclocheilus anshuiensis, 1049 nucleotides. NCBI's taxonomy places the organism in Eukaryota, Metazoa, Chordata, Actinopteri, Cypriniformes, Cyprinidae. The record is from Ensembl.